AUUGAACGCUGGCGGUAUGCCUAACACAUGCAAGUCGAACGGUAACAGAGAGAAGCUUGCUUCUUUGCUGACAAGUGGCGGACGGGUGAGUAACGCGUGGGAAUCUACCUGAUAGUUGGGGAUAGCCCGGAGAAAUCCGGAUUAAUACCGAAUAAUAUCUACGGAUGAAAAGGUGCCUCUGCUUGCAAGCACUUGCUAACAGAUGAGCCCGCGUUAGAUUAGUUUGUUGGUGGGGUAACGGCCUACCAAGACUGCGAUCUAUAGCUGGUUUGAGAGGAUGAUCAGCCACAUUGGGACUGAGACACGGCCCAGACUCCUACGGGAGGCAGCAGUGGGGAAUAUUGGACAAUGGGCGCAAGCCUGAUCCAGCAAUACCGCGUGUGUGAAGAAGGCCUUAGGGUUGUAAAGCACUUUUAUGUAGGAAGAACGGUUAUGAGUUAAUAGCUUAUGACUUUGACGGUACUACAAGAAUAAGCACCGGCUAACUCCGUG
RNAcentral lists this ribosomal RNA (492 nucleotides) under uncultured organism. RNAcentral's name for it is "bacterial SSU rRNA". It matches the Rfam family "Bacterial small subunit ribosomal RNA", at positions 30 to 507 of the family's 1533-position model. The record is from RNAcentral.